Long non-coding RNA from Dicentrarchus labrax (European seabass), 3638 nucleotides. The record is from Ensembl. NCBI's taxonomy places the organism in Eukaryota, Metazoa, Chordata, Actinopteri, Moronidae.
AUAAGAGUUUUCCGCUUUUACAAACCACCAAAACACCUUAGACAUUUCAUAUGACUUUUGACCUGUGAUCAUCAUUCACUGAUUAUUUUUCUUCCCUUUAUAGCUGGAGCACUUGUGUGUCAAACUUGCAAAAAUCAGGAGUGUUCAAGCACGGCACCACUAACGUGUUCCUCAGAGACAAUGUGUAUAACAGCUUCCAUUCAAGGUAGGUAUUUCUUUAUGUCAUCUAUUAACUUUCAGUGAAAUACAUGUACUGUAAAGUUAUGUGUUCUUGCCGUCAACAUUAACAAAUUGCACUUAAAUUUUGUAGCUACUUCAGCUGGAACCCCAGGCCAGCAAAUCUUCAAGGCUUGUGCAUCGUCCUCCCUGUGUCCAGCCGCAGGCUCUCAGACAUUUUCAGCCAACUUGGGAGCUGCGAGUGCACUUGCAUCUGUGACAUGCUGCAACACAGAUAACUGCAACUCACCUACUCUACCAUGUAAGUAUAUGGAUAAGUCAAUAUAAAAGAAUAAAGAUAUAUUACUAUGGAAAAGUAAUAUAACUUUAAAUGUUUUUUACUUCUCAAAUUAAUGAUGUUGUUCUUUCAUGUUUCAGUCCCUGCUACUCCAGCAGAUAACAGCCUACAGUGUUUCUCUUGUGACCCCGUCACCUCUCAAUGCACCAACCUAUUACAAUGUAAGGGAUCGGACCGCUGCUUUCAAGCGACUGUGGGGUCCAGCAGUUCUCCUGCUUUUGGCUGUGCAUCUGGAAACCUGUGUGCAGCUGCUACCAGCCUGGGUAGCCUACCUUUCAUGGAAAAUGUUGGUAACAUCAGCAGCGGACCUUCUUGUUGUGGGACCAGUUUCUGUAAUACUGUCACAGCCCCAACGCCAACAACUGCUGCCCCAACAACAACUUCUUCAGCACCAACAACAACAACUGUUGCAACAGCAACUACUGCUGCCCCAACAACUACUGCUGCCCCAACAACUACAUGCUGCCCCAACAACAACAACAACUGCUGCCCCAACAACAACAACAACUGCUGCCCCAACAACAACUGCUGCCCCAACAACAACAACAACUGCUGCCCCAACAACAACAACAACUGCUGCCCCAACAACAACAACAACUGCAGCCCCAACAACAACAACAACAACGACUGCUGCCCCAACAACGACAGCGCCCCAACAACUGCAGCCCCAACAACAACAACAACAACAACUGCAGCCCCAACAACAACAACAACAACAACUGCAGCCCCAACAACAACAACAACAACUGCAGCCCCAACAACAACAACAACAACAACUGCAGCCCCAACAACAACAACAACAACUGCAGCCCCAACAACAACAACAACAACUGCAGCCCCAACAACAACCGAAACAACAACUGCAGCCCCAACAACAACUGUUGCCCCAACAACGACUGCCCCCAAGGCCAACGACUUGCCCAACAACAACAACAACUGUUGCCCCAACAACAACAACGACUGCUGCCCCAACAACGACUGCUGCCCCAACAACAACUGCAGCCCCAACAACGACAACAACUGCAGCCCCAACAACAACAACAACUGCAACCCCAACAACAACAACGACUGCAGCCACAACAACAACAACGACUGCAGCCCCAACAACGACUGCAGCCCCAACAACAACCGACAACAACAACUAUCGCCACCCAGACAACAACAACUGCCACCCCAACAACAACAACCGCCGCCGCCCAGACUACUAUAACAACCAGCGCCCCAGCAACCCCAACUUCCACAACCACUGCUGCCCUUACAACUGCAAAUACAACCUCCAUCCCAGCAACUCAAUCAGCCACAAUUACAAUCAGACUGGGUAUGAGUCAUCUGCAGCUCGGACUCUUUAUUUCCUUUAUCCUCUGUUAAGAAAAAUAUUGGAUAAAAUACCUUUAAAGCUACCAUAAGGACUCUGAAAUGACCCUUUGAAGCCUGGACUUGGGUUUACUGCCCAUUGCCAUCUUUAGUUAGCAGUUACCGGGGCUAAAAAAGACCAAAAUGUAGGAAAAGAGGGGAUGGCGUCUGGGUGUAGCUGAGGUGGGACAAGUUUGCAGCAAUUGAACACACAAUUGAACGUUUUUGUCCACUUUGAUCGGGAAAACAAUUUAAUGUCACAUUGUACAUUGUAUAAGGGAUAAAUCACAAUUAACCUUGUGUUGAAUAAUAAAGGGAUUGUAUUCAAGGCUGAUUACUGCAACUCUUUAUUAUCAGGUUGCCCCAAUAAGUCCAUUAAAACGCUCCAAUUAAUUCAGAACACUGCAGCACAGUACUGACAGGAACUAGAAAAAGAGAUCACAUCUCUCCUGUACUAGCUACUCUGCAUUGGCUCCCUGUAAAAUGUAGAAUUGAAUUUAAAAUCCUCCUCCUCACCUAUAAAGCUCUUCAUGGUCAGGCCCCUUCAUAUCUUAAAGAGCUCAUAGUACCCUAUUACCCCACUAGAACACUACGUUCUCUGAAUGCUGGGCUACUUGUGGUUCCUAUAGUCUCUAAAAGUAGAACAGGAGCCAGAGCCUUCAGUUACCAAGCUCCUCUCCUGUGGAACCAGCUUCCAGUUAUGGUUCGGGAGGCAGACACCCUCACCACAUUCAAGAGUAGGCUUAAGACAUUCCUCUUUGAUAAAGCUUAUAGUUAGGGCUGGAUCAGGUGAGUCCUGAACCAUCCCUUAGUUAUGCUGCUAUAGGCCUAGACUAUCGGGGGAUUUCCCAUGGUGCACUGAGCUCCUCUCUUCCUCUCUCUUUAUGCACUCAUUCAUGUCCCAUUAAUGCAUGUUACUAACUCCACUUCUUCCCCGGAGUUCUUGUGCUUUCUCGUCUCGCAGGUUCUCAUGGAUCCUGGUGGAGCCUCCUGCCAUGGUCCUGCUUGACUGCCAUUGCCAAUACUGUUGUUGCUGUGCACCUGUCUGUCUGUCUCUCUCUCUCUCUCUCUCUCUCUCUCUCUCUCUCUCUCUCUCUCUCUCUCUCUCUCUCUCACCCCAACUGGUCGAGACAGACGACCACCCACCUAGAGCCGGAGGAUCUGUCCUAGGUUUCUGCCUUUUAACAGGCAGUUUUCCUUGCCCUUGUCGCCAAGUGCUUGCUCAUGGUGGUACUGUUGGGUCUCUGUAAUUAAUGUUAAAGAGUUCGGUCUAGACCUGCUCUAUUUGAAAAGUGUCCUGAGAUAACUUCUGUUAUGAAUUGGCGCUAUACAAAUAAAAUUGAAUAAUUGAAUUGAAUAGUGGGAAAAUGCAUUCAGGGAUAAGGUUUUGUCAUGUAUUCACACUCUGGUUGUCUCACACUAGUUAGAAAAAGGGUUAUUCAGUGUGCCAUGAGCUAAGCACAUUCCAAAGACCAAGGCUGUCUUGGGUAGAGUAGGGCAUCAGAUAUGUUAUGACUACUGUUUAUCAGAUAUUGGACGUCACCAAUAGACAUUCUUUGGGAAAGAGGCAUAUAAUGGAGGGAUUUUCUUUGUUCGAGUCAGUUCAUUCUCGAGACAACUCGGUUUGCUUGUAUCCUGUGUUGAUGCAAAUAAAUCUUGCACAUGGAGUGAAACUGUCAAUUCUCUUUGAUUUCUGUGAGUCUGUGUCACCAUUCUGGGUACCUUCAGUGGGAGUUUGUGGUCUCUCACUAUAGUCAGAUAGCUAAAAGUU